CCUACGGGAGGCUGCAGUGGGGAAUAUUGCACAAUGGGGGGAACCCUGAUGCAGCAAUGCCGCGUGGGUGAAGAAGCACUCCGGUGCGUAAAGCUCUAUCAGCAGGGACGAAAAAGACGGUACCUGACUAAGAAUCCCCGGCUAACUACGUGCCAGCAGCCGCGGUAAUACGUAGGGGGCAAGCGUUAUCCGGAUUUACUGGGUGUAAAGGGAGCGUAGACGGCAAGGCAAGCCAGAAGUGAAAGGGCAGGGCUCAACCCUGUACAUGCUUUUGGAACUGUGGUGCUAGAGUGCAGGAGAGGUAAGUGGAAUUCCUAGUGUAGCGGUGAAAUGCGUAGAUAUUAGGAGGAACACCAGUGGCGAAGGCGGCUUACUGGACUGUAACUGACGUUGAGGCUCGAAAGCGUGGGGAGCAAACAGGAUUAGAUACCCCAGUAGUC
Molecule: ribosomal RNA, 440 nt
Filed under: uncultured bacterium
Lineage: Bacteria
Description: partial 16S ribosomal RNA
Rfam family: Bacterial small subunit ribosomal RNA
Source: RNAcentral